UAACUGACAAAACUGAGAAAAAUCAUGAUAUACAUAUCAUCGUACUAGAUGCCAAGAAACCCCAAUUAAAGCAAGCUCGACGCAAACCCGAGAGGAAUUAUGUAUAACGUUCUUGACAAAAGAGUGACAAGGCAAGCACUGCAACAUGCGAUUAUUGGCUUUAUGGACGCGUAGUAAUGGAAACAAAAAUUAUGGAGAAGGGAUCAUUAAGAAUUUUUGGGCACUAAGUAACUUUAUGUUGCUGG
This is a non-coding RNA of Schizosaccharomyces pombe (fission yeast), 245 nucleotides long. The record is from the annotation of a GenBank genome assembly. Lineage: Eukaryota; Fungi; Ascomycota; Schizosaccharomycetes; Schizosaccharomycetales; Schizosaccharomycetaceae.